Long non-coding RNA from Aethina tumida (small hive beetle), 1077 nucleotides. RefSeq lists it as uncharacterized. The transcript has 2 exons. NCBI's taxonomy places the organism in Eukaryota, Metazoa, Arthropoda, Insecta, Coleoptera, Nitidulidae. The record is from RefSeq and is a predicted model, not a curated record.
UCGCGUGGCGUUGCGUACGCAUCGCGUCGUACCCGCCGUUUUGCAACCCGAUUUUAUUUAGAAAGCUAUCGCGCCCCACUUCGGUACACGAAACGAGAUUCCCGGAACGCAUUCCAUGCACUCUCGCACGAUCAAAUUUUAUUCGGAAUUGUUUAAAUAGUUUUUUUUUUUGCAUCGACGUUAGUCUUUUCUUGAGGUGUUUUUAUUCGUUUAUUAUGACAGUGACAGUUGGUUGAUGAUAAGAAGAGGGAAAAUAUUUGUUUAGAUGUUCUAGUAGUUACAAAUUAGUAGUAAAGCGGAGAUAAGAUGAUUAUUGUAAAUAUAAUUAAAACUCAAGUACACUCAUAAACUUGUACGGAGAAUGUGUUUUUAUGUUUUGCAUAAAUUGAUGGCAAAUGAACAUUGAAAUUUCAUGUAAAUUCUUAUAAAUUUUAGGAACAAUGUAGAAAAUAAAACAUUUGUUUGAUGAACCUGUUCAAAUAACGAAAGACAAAUUAAAUAUUAUAUAUAUUAUACAUGAACUUUGCUUUUUUGUCACAUAUCUCAAAAACAAUGGUCUUAAUAUGGGAAGAAAAAAAAUUAAUUCCAGAAAAAAGCCAGAAAUUAAAUAAUUACUCUCCAGAAUUUUGUCGAAAAAUACUUUGGAGUGAUUAAUUCAAGUUCAAUAGAAUAGGAUCAGAUGGUACACACAGUAGAGGAAACGUUAUGGUUUUGGGAUUUCUUGUCUUGGCAUGUUAUAGUACCAUUCCAGAAAACUAUUGAUAACAUGGACCAUUUCGUGUUGCUAACGACCUUUGCGAAUAUCUCGUUGAGUGUAUGCCUUGCCGUUUAUUCGCGGUUAUAACGAACAAAAGGUACCCAAGUUAUGCAUAAAUUAUUUACUAAAUGUAUAUUUUUUUAAUGUGUGCUAUUUGUAUGACGUCACAGCACACAUUAUUUUGUUAAAGCUUUAAGAUAAGUAGAACUUAAAGCAACCACUGUACAUAUUUAAAAAAUUUUAUUUUCUUAAAAAAACAACAAUAUAAGUAAAAGUGAAGGGUUUUAGUUAAUGAAACAAUAAAAAUAGAAAGUCGUUUA